AGCGUAGACGGACUGGCAAGUCUGAUGUGAAAGGCGGGGGCUCAACCCCUGGACUGCAUUGGAAACUGUUAGUCUUGGGUGCCGGAGAGGUAAGCGGAAUUCCUAGUGUAGCGGUGAAAUGCGUAGAUAUUAGGAGGAACACCGGUGGCGAAGGCGGGUCUCUGGGCCAUUACUGACGCUGAGGAGCGAAAGCGUGGGGAGCGAACA
Molecule: ribosomal RNA, 207 nt
Filed under: uncultured bacterium
Lineage: Bacteria
Description: partial 16S ribosomal RNA
Rfam family: Bacterial small subunit ribosomal RNA
Source: RNAcentral